Molecule: non-coding RNA, 94 nt
Filed under: Pseudomonas sp. NFACC15-1
Lineage: Bacteria; Pseudomonadati; Pseudomonadota; Gammaproteobacteria; Pseudomonadales; Pseudomonadaceae
Also listed under: 2 other names
Source: RNAcentral
UUUUAUGGCGGCUGUGUUCGGGAGACUCUCAAGGUCUGCCGGGGUUUUGGUAUGGUUACCCGGUCUUGCACACUCGCUCACAGCUGCCACCUUC